GGGGAUGUAGCUCAGUGGUAUAGCAUCUGCCUGGCAAGCAUGAGGUCCUAAGUUCAAUCCCUGGUACCA
RNAcentral lists this transfer RNA (69 nucleotides) under Heterocephalus glaber (naked mole-rat). It matches the Rfam family "tRNA". Rfam says of the family: Transfer RNA (tRNA) molecules are approximately 80 nucleotides in length. Their secondary structure includes four short double-helical elements and three loops (D, anti-codon, and T loops). The record is from Rfam by way of RNAcentral. Lineage: Eukaryota; Metazoa; Chordata; Mammalia; Rodentia; Bathyergidae.